Molecule: non-coding RNA, 225 nt
Organism: Amborella trichopoda
Lineage: Eukaryota; Viridiplantae; Streptophyta; Magnoliopsida; Amborellales; Amborellaceae
Source: RefSeq, a predicted model, not a curated record
GAAUGGCAUCCCGGUGAUGUUAUACAGUGGAGACGUGGACAGUAGUGUUCCAGUGACAGGUACAAGAAAGGCGAUAAAAAAACUUAACCUGGAUAUUCAAACUCACUGGUACCCAUGGUUCAACGAGCACGAGUUUGGAGGGUAUAGUGUGAUAUACAAGGGUGGCUUAACAUUUGCAAUUGUUAGAGGAGCGGGCCAUGAGGUCCCUAGUUACCAACCGGCGAG